This is a long non-coding RNA of Populus euphratica (Euphrates poplar), 143 nucleotides long. RefSeq lists it as uncharacterized. The record is from RefSeq and is a predicted model, not a curated record. The transcript has 3 exons. Lineage: Eukaryota; Viridiplantae; Streptophyta; Magnoliopsida; Malpighiales; Salicaceae.
CCAAGUGCAGGCAUUCAAAGUGGUGGUCCAGUUUUAUCAGCCCAUUAGACCAUAUGAGCCUACGUGACAGCAGCCUGUUAUCCUUCCACUGCCAGGAGCGGGAGGUUGUCGCUGCUCUGUGAAACCAGCCUCACGCAUUGCCC